AAUCAACUCUGCUUCUGGAAAAGGGAUUGUGGUACAUUUCGGAUGUUCGUGAGUUUCACUGUAAUUGUGUGUGAAUAGUAAGCAUGGGUUGCAAAGGCCACCUGACUGUUGCUAAGUGUUCUGCUCGUCCAAUGUGUACUAUUGAUUGCCUCAAACGGGUUGCGCUUAUCGUCCCUCGGCAUGACUGAUACAUGUGAUGUGAUUUUACGUUUAGGGGUGUCGUAGGCCACCACAUCUGCCAUUAUUCUGGUUUGGGAAUUUUUAUCGUAAUAUGGAGAAAAUGAGGUGAAUGGAGGAUGAGCUAAGUUCGUUAACACAAAUGUAAAUCAGCAUCGAUGAUGUUCAAUAUCUAAGCAGAAACCACAUCGACAUACUGCCAUACUGCCCAGCCGACAUUAGGAACUUCCACCGAGACUUCCUAGGUUGGUGGAUCGACUUCUACAAUUCCAACUAUAUGCGGAGACAGCAGCGGACAGCAUACACGACGCACUGUUAUCUGCCACUACACCCUCUGAUGUUCAGCUCGUCUUCUACUUUGAAACAGGAACUGCUACACAUACAUGGAACAUUAAAAUAACAAUGCUUCCGUGCAGUGCCUUCUACCUGAGUAACCGUCAUUCACGUGAAAUUAGCAUAGCUAACACACCUAACAUGAAUUGCAUCUGUUACCUCAAUUGUAUUCCUGAGUUCCUGCUAUUUGCCUCUUCGCUCCGGCAAAGCUCCGACAAAGUUAAAUCAUUUAACUUGCAAGACAUCACCACCACUGCCAUCCGCCAACUCAACAAACAAAACUACAAUAUUUGCUUUAAGACUGAACUGCAGUACAGGACAGUACAAAUAAAUUUUGCCAAUCAAUUCCUA
This is a long non-coding RNA of Daphnia carinata, 861 nucleotides long. RefSeq lists it as uncharacterized. The transcript is spliced from 6 exons. Lineage: Eukaryota; Metazoa; Arthropoda; Branchiopoda; Diplostraca; Daphniidae. The record is from RefSeq and is a predicted model, not a curated record.